CCUACGGGAGGCAGCAGUGAGGAAUAUUGGUCAAUGGUCGAGAGUCUGAACCAGCCAAGUAGCGUGAAGGAUGAAUGCCCUAUGUGUUGUAAACUUCUUUUAUAAAGGAAUAAAACGAGGCACGUGUGCCUUUUUGCAUGUACCUUAUGAAUAAGGAUCGGCUAACUCCGUGCCAGCAGCCGCGGUAAUACGGAGGAUCCGAGCGUUAUCCGGAUUUAUUGGGUUUAAAGGGGGCGUAGAUGGGUUGUUAAGUCAGUGGUGAAAGGUUGCGGCUCAACCGUAAAAUUGCAAUUGAUACUGGCAGUCUUGAGUACAGUUGAGGUAGGCGGAAUUCGUGGUGUAGCGGUGAAAUGCUUAGAUAUCACGAAGAACCCCGAUUGCGAAGGCAGCUUACUAAACUGUGACUGACAUUGAUGCUCGAAAGUGUGGGUAUCAAACAGGAUUAGAUACCCGAGUAGUC
This 460-nucleotide ribosomal RNA is filed under the name uncultured bacterium. Its description in RNAcentral is "partial 16S ribosomal RNA". It matches the Rfam family "Bacterial small subunit ribosomal RNA", at positions 338 to 795 of the family's 1533-position model. The record is from RNAcentral.